Podarcis lilfordi (Lilford's wall lizard) is the source of this 69-nucleotide non-coding RNA. The record is from the annotation of a GenBank genome assembly. Lineage: Eukaryota; Metazoa; Chordata; Lepidosauria; Squamata; Lacertidae.
GGUGGCUCCGGUGGGUAGAGCAUGGUGCUGAUAAUUCCAAGGUCAUGGGUUCGAUCCCCAUAUGGGCCA